RNAcentral lists this long non-coding RNA (1798 nucleotides) under Lynx pardinus (Iberian lynx). The record is from RNAcentral. Lineage: Eukaryota; Metazoa; Chordata; Mammalia; Carnivora; Felidae.
GGGGGAGGGGGGAAGACCAACUGGUCUCAGCAACUGGUCCCAGAAGAUAACAUGGGACAAAGCCAGCCCUGUGGGCAGUUUUAUGCGGAGGUGAGGCUGAGGAGGCCCAUUUGAGACAUGCCGGGUUUGCAGCAGCAUCCGCAGAACAUUCCAGAAGGAGAUGCCCAAGACAGAGCCAGCACCUCGACCCAAAACUCAGGAAAACACAGGCAAGUUUCAUGGUUGCCACUGGUCUCUGGCUUCUUGGCCGCGAUAGGACCCGAAAGCCCAGCUCUGUGUCCUGCCAUCAGCUGGGGGGGGGGGGUGAAUGGCCUCCAGCUCAAGCCAACGGGGUGUCCAUUUCCGGCCCCUGUUUCUAGGGAGUCCUUUGAACUACCUGGCUUGGCUCACACCCAUGACCUACUGAAGCUGGCCCCCGGUUUCUGACUCCCUCUCUGAAGAGUUUUUCCAUUCCCUCUGCCCCUCAGUUCUGCCCUUCACCCUUGACUUCUAGCAUGUUGGGCCACCUGGGCUUUCUCUCCACAGAGCUCCUGCUGACCUUCAGGACAGACUUUCUGUGAGUGGGUGUUAUCACCCACAUUGUACAGAUGAAGAAAACUGAGGAUUCCAGAACUGGGUUGCCUUUUUGAAGCCCCCAUUCUCUGUCCUCAGGGAACUCAUCUAGUGACAGAAACAAAUCCAUAAACACCCACAACACUACCCACAUUCUACGUGAAUGUGAACUGUGUGAUUUUUGAAGAUCUGCAGCGUAGAAAUAUAAACCAUUCCCAGUCGAUGUGCCAAAUGUGAAAGAAUUCAAGUCCCCACCCCCUUCAGCCACGUAUCAACUACAUAACUUCCCAGUUGGCAGGUGGAACGAGCUCCAAACUGUGUCUAUGCUCCUGCUCUAUUCUAUACCUGUGCUACUUUAGCUAGAGGACAGAAAUGCUCAUCAUCACCAUUGGUGGCAUUGGUCUUAAGUGCACACAUUCACAAUCGUGAGCAAUCUUUAAGAGCACACUCUUCUUUUUUCUUUUAAGUUUAUUUGAGAAAGAGAGCAGCAUGAGCAGGGAAGGGGCAGAGAGAGAAGGAGAGAGAGAAUCUCAAGCAGGCUCCUCGAUAUCAGGACUUGGAGCCCGGUGUGGGGCUCGAUCUCAUAAACCGUGAGAUCAUGACCUGGGCUGAAAUCAAGAGUCAGAUGCUUAACCCACUGAACCGCCCAGGCGCCCUGAGGAGCAUAGUCUUCUGAUGGGAUUUAUGGAGUAGGUGCUUCAGGGGCAUCUUUAUCACACAGACCACUGAUGGUCCCCGGGCAGAGCAAGGUCAUGUCUACCCAGGAGAAGAGGGGAAGUCAUUGUUUCUUUUAAACCCCUCUGCAGCCCUAGGAAUCGAGUGUUACUAUUAUUUUGUAAAUUAACAAAUUAUUUUAUAAAUGGAGAAAUUGCCUUGUAAUUUAAAAUAUGCCCAUACAUUCUUUUAUCCUUCUUCCUUUGAAGGUGGAGCCUCAUUGUCCUCCGUGUGCUCGUGGGCUGCACUUGGUGAAUCCAGUGUAGACUUCCAAGAGUGGAUCCCGAAAGGCACCAUGGCCUCCUCUUUGCUGACUGUUUGGGUCACUCAUUCUGGGGAAGGCCAGCUGCCAUGUCACAAGGACCGUCAAGCAGCCCUCGGGAGAAAAGCAUGUGGCAAGGAACAGAGCACCCCCCUCCACCCCCCACCCCACAGUCAUGGGAACGAGCCAUUUUGGAAACCCCAGUCAAAGCUCCUGGUGACCACAGCUCUAGCUGUUGAGUUGACCGCACCUCCUGAAAGAGACCUUGAG